This 109-nucleotide ribosomal RNA is filed under the name Eimeria bovis. RNAcentral describes it as "partial 5.8S rRNA". It matches the Rfam family "5.8S ribosomal RNA", at positions 47 to 154 of the family's 154-position model. From Rfam's summary of the family: 5.8S ribosomal RNA (5.8S rRNA) is a component of the large subunit of the eukaryotic ribosome. It is transcribed by RNA polymerase I as part of the 45S precursor that also contains 18S and 28S rRNA. Functionally, it is thought that 5.8S rRNA may be involved in ribosome translocation. Lineage: Eukaryota; Apicomplexa; Conoidasida; Eucoccidiorida; Eimeriidae. The record is from RNAcentral.
AGCGAAUGCGAUACGCAUUGUGAAUUGCAGAUUUCAGUGAACCAUCAGAUUUCCGAACGCAUAUGGCGCUGCGGGGACUUCCCCGCAGCACGUCUGUUUCAGUGUCUUU